Molecule: ribosomal RNA, 158 nt
Filed under: uncultured fungus
Lineage: Eukaryota; Fungi
Description: 5.8S ribosomal RNA
Rfam family: 5.8S ribosomal RNA
About the family: 5.8S ribosomal RNA (5.8S rRNA) is a component of the large subunit of the eukaryotic ribosome. It is transcribed by RNA polymerase I as part of the 45S precursor that also contains 18S and 28S rRNA. Functionally, it is thought that 5.8S rRNA may be involved in ribosome translocation.
Source: RNAcentral
CAAUUCUUAGCAACGGAUAUCUUGGUUCUCGUAACGAUGAAGAACGCAGCGAAAUGCGAUACGUAAUGCGAAUUGCAGAAUUCAGUGAAUCAUCAAAUCUUUGAACGCAAAUUGCGCUUGCUGGUUAACCCGGUAAGCACGCCUCUCUCAGUAUCGGC